UACGUAGGGGGCAAGCGUUAUCCGGAAUUAUUGGGCGUAAAGAGUGCGUAGGUGGUUUUGUAAGCGCGGGGUGAAAGGCAAUAGCUCAACUAUUGUAAGCCUUGCGAACUGUAAGACUUGAGUGCAGGAGAGGAAAGUGGAAUUCCUAGUGUAGCGGUGAAAUGCGUAGAUAUUAGGAGGAACACCAGUGGCGAAGGCGACUUUCUGGACUGUAACUGACACUGAGGCACGAAAGCGUGGGGAGCAAACAGGAUUAGAUACCCUGGUAGUCCACGCCGUAAACGAUGAGCACUAGGUGUCGGGGCCGCAAGGUUUCGGUGCCGCAGUUAACGCAUUAAGCACCCCGCCUGGGGAGUACGUACGCAAGUAUGAA
Molecule: ribosomal RNA, 373 nt
Filed under: uncultured bacterium
Lineage: Bacteria
Description: bacterial SSU rRNA
Rfam family: Bacterial small subunit ribosomal RNA
Source: RNAcentral